This 425-nucleotide ribosomal RNA is filed under the name uncultured Pseudomonadota bacterium. RNAcentral's name for it is "bacterial SSU rRNA". It matches the Rfam family "Bacterial small subunit ribosomal RNA", at positions 356 to 774 of the family's 1533-position model. Lineage: Bacteria; Pseudomonadati; Pseudomonadota. The record is from RNAcentral.
GGGGAAUUUUGGACAAUGGGCGCAAGCCUGAUCCAGCAAUGCCGCGUGCAGGAUGAAGGCCUUCGGGUGGUAAACUGCUUUUGUACGGAACGAAAAGCCUCUCUCUAAUACAGGGGGGUGAUGACGGUACCGUAAGAAUAAGAACCGGCUAACUCCGUGCCAGCAGCCGCGGUAAUACGGAGGGUGCAAGCGUUAAUCGGAAUUAUGGGCGUAAAGCGCACGUAGGCUGCUUUGUAAGUCAGGGGUGAAAUCCCACGGCUCAACCGUGGAACUGCCUUUGAUACUGCUUAGCUUGAAUCCGGGAGAGGGUGGCGGAAUUCCAGGUGUAGGAGUGAAAUCCGUAGAUAUCUGUAGGAACAUCAGUGGCGAAGGCGGCCACCUGGAACGGUAUUGACGCUGAGGUGCGAAAGCGUGGGGAGCAAACA